CCUACGGGUGGCAGCAGUGGGGAAUAUUGGACAAUGGGCGAAAGCCUGAUCCAGCCAUGCCGCGUGUGUGAAGAAGGCCUUCGGGUUGUAAAGCACUUUCAGUGGGGAAGAAAGCCUUGGGGCUAAUACCCUCGAGGAAGGACAUCACCCACAGAAGAAGCACCGGCUAACUCCGUGCCAGCAGCCGCGGUAAUACGGAGGGUGCGAGCGUUAAUCGGAAUUACUGGGCGUAAAGCGCGCGUAGGCGGUCUGAUAAGCCGGUUGUGAAAGCCCCGGGCUCAACCUGGGAACGGCAUCCGGAACUGUCAGGCUAGGGUGCAGGAGAGGAAGGUAGAAUUCCCGGGGUAGCGGUGAAAUGCGUAGAGAUCGGGAGGAAUACCAGGGGCGAAGGCGGCCUUCUGGACUGACACUGACGCUGAGGUGCGAAAGCGUGGGUAGCAAACAGGAUUAGAUACCCGAGUAGUC
RNAcentral lists this ribosomal RNA (465 nucleotides) under Vreelandella stevensii. RNAcentral's name for it is "partial 16S ribosomal RNA". It matches the Rfam family "Bacterial small subunit ribosomal RNA", at positions 338 to 795 of the family's 1533-position model. Lineage: Bacteria; Pseudomonadati; Pseudomonadota; Gammaproteobacteria; Oceanospirillales; Halomonadaceae. The record is from RNAcentral.